This 433-nucleotide ribosomal RNA is filed under the name uncultured bacterium. RNAcentral's name for it is "partial 16S ribosomal RNA". It matches the Rfam family "Bacterial small subunit ribosomal RNA", at positions 29 to 507 of the family's 1533-position model. The record is from RNAcentral.
AACGAACGCUGGCGGCAUGCCUAACACAUGCAAGUCGAACGAGACCUUCGGGUUUAGUGGCGCACGGGUGCGUAACGCGUGGGAACCUGCCCUUAGGUUCGGGAUAACUCCCCGAAAGGGGUGCUAAUACCGGAUAAUGUCUUCGGACCAAAGAUUUAUCGCCUUUGGAUGGGCCCGCGUUGGAUUAGCUAGUUGGUAGGGUAAAAGCCUACCAAGGCGACGAUCCAUAGCUGGUCUGAGAGGAUGAUCAGCCACACUGGGACUGAGACACGGCCCAGACUCCUACGGGAGGCAGCAGUGGGGAAUAUUGGACAAUGGGCGAAAGCCUGAUCCAGCAAUGCCGCGUGAGUGAUGAAGGCCUUAGGGUUGUAAAGCUCUUUUACCCGGGAUGAUAAUGACAGUACCGGGAGAAUAAGCUCCGGCUAACUCCGUG